AGAGUUUGAUCCUGGCUCAGGAUGAACGCUAGCGGCAGGCCUAACACAUGCAAGUCGAACGGUAAGGUCUCUUCGGAGAUACACGAGUGGCGCACGGGUGAGUAACGCGUAUGCAACCUACCUUUAACAGGGGGAUAGCCCAAAGAAAUUCGGAUUAAUACCCCAUAACACUAUGAUAACACAUGUUAUUAUAUUUAAAACUCCGGUGGUUAAAGAUGGGCAUGCGUGACAUUAGAUAGUUGGUAAGGUAACGGCUUACCAAGUCUACGAUGUCUAGGGGGUCUGAGAGGAUGGUCCCCCACACUGGUACUGAGACACGGACCAGACUCCUACGGGAGGCAGCAGUGAGGAAUAUUGCGCAAUGGACGAAAGUCUGACGCAGCCAUGCCGCGUGCAGGAUGACGGCCCUAUGGGUUGUAAACUGCUUUUAUACAGGAAGAACCUCUUGUACGUGUACGAGAUUGACUGUACUGUAAGAAUAAGCAUCGGCUAACUCCGUGCCAGCAGCCGCGGUAAUACGGAGGAUGCAAGCGUUAUCCGGAUUUAUUGGGUUUAAAGGGUGCGCAGGCGGGAAAAUAAGUCAGUGGUGAAAUCCUGCAGCUUAACUGUAGAACUGCCAUUGAUACUGUUUUUCUUGAGUUUGGUUGAGGUAGGCGGAAUGUGUAAUGUAGCGGUGAAAUGCUUAGAUAUUACACAGAACACCGAUUGCGUAGGCAGCUUACUAAGCCAUAACUGACGCUCAGGCACGAAAGCGUGGGGAUCGAACAGGAUUAGAUACCCUGGUAGUCCACGCCGUAAACGAUGAUCACUAGCUGUUGGCGAUAAAUUGUUCAGCGGCAAAGCGAAAGCAUUAAGUGAUCCACCUGGGGAGUACGCUCGCAAGAGUGAAACUCAAAGGAAUUGACGGGGGCCCGCACAAGCGGUGGAACAUGUGGUUUAAUUCGAUGAUACGCGAGGAACCUUACCUGGGCUUAAAUGUAGGACGACGAUUCGGGAAACCGAUUCUCCCUUCGGGGCGGACUACAAGGUGCUGCAUGGUUGUCGUCAGCUCGUGCCGUGAGGUGUCGGGUUAAGUCCCAUAACGAGCGCAACCCCUAUCGUUAGUUGCCAGCGGAUAAUGCCGGGGACUCUAGCGAAACUGCCGGUGUAAACCGAGAGGAAGGUGGGGAUGACGUCAAAUCAGCACGGCCCUUAUGUCCAGGGCUACACACGUGUUACAAUGGCCGAUACAGAGGGUAGCUACCAUGUGAAUGGAUGCGAAUCUCGAAAGUCGGUCUUAGUUCGGAUCGAAGUCUGCAACUCGACUUCGUGAAGCUGGAAUCGCUAGUAAUCGCGUAUCAGCAAUGACGCGGUGAAUACGUUCCCGGGCCUUGUACACACCGCCCGUCAAGCCAUGGAAGCUGGGGGUACCUGAAGUCUGUUACCGUAAGGAGCGGCCUAGGGUAAAACUAGUAACUGGGGCUAAGUCGGAACAAGGUA
Molecule: ribosomal RNA, 1479 nt
Filed under: metagenome
Description: bacterial SSU rRNA
Rfam family: Bacterial small subunit ribosomal RNA
Source: RNAcentral